RNAcentral lists this ribosomal RNA (207 nucleotides) under uncultured bacterium. RNAcentral's name for it is "partial 16S ribosomal RNA". It matches the Rfam family "Bacterial small subunit ribosomal RNA", at positions 568 to 774 of the family's 1533-position model. The record is from RNAcentral.
AGCGUAGGCGGACAUUUAAGUCAGGGGUGAAAUCCCGGGGCUCAACCUCGGAAUUGCCUUUGAUACUGGGUGUCUUGAGUAUGAGAGAGGUGUGUGGAACUCCGAGUGUAGAGGUGAAAUUCGUAGAUAUUCGGAAGAACACCAGUGGCGAAAGCGACACACUGGCUCAUUACUGACGCUGAGGCUCGAAAGCGUGGGGAGCAAACA